GAACAUUUUCAGAAAGUAAAGGAGCAUUCAUAGAAGUAGAUUGACAUGUUGUUGCAUGGGAUUGAAAAGAAGGAGAAGACUGCAUAAGCCUGUAAAGUCCAUCAUCCAAUUUACCAAUUUCCAAUGGCCUCUUCAGUGAAGGGGUCUAUAUCAAACAGGAAAACUUAGUAAAUAGGACAAUAGAAUCCAACUGGCAAAUAAGUUUGGAUAUAGAGAUAAGGUUGUAAUGAAAGCUAGGAAUGUAGAAGACAUGAUGCAAUGUGAAAGAGAGAAAUUGAAUGGAACCAGUACAAGUUACCUUGACCUUAUAACCAUUUGGCAAGGUGACUAAGUAUGGUAUGAUUAAGGGUUUAAUGUCAAAGAUAAGGUCUUAUUGGAUGUCAUAUGGUCAGUGGACCUAGAGUCUAUAAUCCAAAUGCAUUCAUUCAUUUAGUUAACAUGCAAGUAUCAUAAGAUACAUUUUUCACACAACUGGGUGAAGAGAGAAUACCAGCAAAGUUAGCAGAUGCCAUGAGGCUGGACUGGGGUUGUGAUUCUGAAAUUUGUGUAUGCUGAAGUAACAUCAUAAGUUGUGAAUAUUGAUCCUUGGUUAACCCAAGGAUCAAAGACUCUGAAUCAGAAGACCAUUCAGCUGGAGAGUGAGAAACCUCAACAGAAUUCUGAAGACCAGCAGAAUUUUGAUGACCAUGCACCUCAACAUUUGCAGCAGUCCUUUUACCCUUGGUAAACUUGAAGCCUAGUGGGAACCCAUGGAGCUUAUAACAUUUGUCAACUAAAUGUCCAGGAUUCUUACAAUACCUACACAUUAUAUUUGACUUGUUGUAUUCAAAGUUGACUCUUUGAGUGAACUGUUUGGGAGGGGCAGGAGUCCCUGAGAACUUGUUAGUGAGAUAUGCAUUGAAAGAAGUAGAAUCAGUACGGAAAUGGGAUAGUGAGGACACUUGUCUUUGUCUCUCAUCCUGAAGUAAGAUGUUGUUGUCACACCACUUUUUUCCGAGGGGAUAGGAGAGUUUUUUCAAUUAAAGUGACAUUAUUCGAAAUGAGAUUAUUUUAUCAAUCAGAGUCGCCACUUGGAAUAAUUUAUGGUAUCCCAAGUCACCGGUUUAUUUUAAAUCCCAAAUCGAGGAAAUGUUUACUCUGUUUUAAAGUCUACGAAACCAAAAGACCGGUUAAGGAAUUCUGUUAACCUGGGAAAAUGUGUGAGGCACUCCCGAGUUCCGUGGUUUUAGCACGGUCGCUCAACUAUUAAUAAUUGGCCUGAUUAUCUGAUUUAUUAUAUGUUUAAAACCUAUUAUGUAUUUUUAACCUUUUAAACCGCUUUUAAUUAUUUAUGGAAUCUGUUUGAACAAGUUGCGAUGUCGCACACUUGUUGUUUUUUAACACAUUGCGAAUCGCGUCACAUGAAAUGCACCCGCUGUUUACAACAUGUUUAUUUUUAUUACUAUUUAAAGUUAUGGUCGGGUCACAUGAAAUGCACACCCGAAUUGGAAUUUACGUAUCGUGACUAUGCCACGAGAACCGUACCCAUAGUCACGAUAAUUUAUUAUUAAUCGCGCCUAAAGCAACUAGCGAUGGUUUAUAAGUUGUUUAAUUACCUAAGCUUGAGAUUAUUGUGAGGUCAUGAAUUAUGGAUAUGACAUUGUUGGAAAAGUAUAAUUUUAAGUAAAACAUACAUUCUAACAACACAAUUAGACAAAAAAACAUAAGUAAAAUAAUAGGAAAUGCUCUCAAGCCCAAUUUCUUUUCUAACGUCAAAUAAACUUCCUCGACCAAACCCUUUUCCAAUUUUAUCAACCUGAGCCUAACUCACUGUGUGCUUCUAAUUUCAGGCAAGAUUUCCACAACAAACCAUUUAUAAUUAAAACCAACUUAAACCCAAAUUCUUUCCCUAAUUAACCAACACAGUAGCUCAAGUUAAACAAUAAAAAAAUUAUCAAGCAAGUUCAAGAUAAUAGUGACUUAAGUACCAACUAGACGUGAAGGCUAAACUAAAAACAACAGCAUACUAUAUCCCUGUGGCGCACCAAAUGCCUAAAUCAAUUUCAACUCAAGUCUUUUCCUUCGCCAUUUUAUUUACCGGAUAAGUCACGAAGCUUUCAGUGAUAUAAGUCAAAGUUGCAUUGAAAUAUCAAUUCAUCCUAUUCACUGUCACGAAUUAAGACAUUUAACCAAAUAAUAAAACUAAGACAGCAAAUGCAAACAAACCAACAUAACAAAAUACCAAAAUCAUUCAAAAUCCUUCAGCAAACCAGAAUAAUGAGAUGAAAUAAGAUGAAGGUUUGAAAGGUGCACCUUUACUGUUGCACACUCUUUGAAAGAUUGUAUUAAUGAAAAAAUACUGAACAAAUCCUUAAACGAGCAGAUGAACCUGUGACCGGAGACCUCGAUCGGCGACCUCGAAGAUCGCAAUCCUUCGAAAAUCAGACCACAGAAAUAGAACCUCUGUUUCGUAUGGAAAAGAAAAGAGAGGUGAUUUAUUUCUUUUUGAACUAGAGCCUCAUGGAGAAAUUGGAUUGAGAAGGGGGAAACAUGGUUAAUGAUUGGUGAGGAUGAAAGGUUGCGGUUUGGAUAUGAAUUUAGUUGCAAAAUCGUAGAAGGGGAUGGAAAGCUUGCUUCUGUUGCGCCGCUAUCGAUUUUCUCACGUCCCCUACAUUUUUCUAUCUGAUCUCCUCCCAUGCUUCUUUCGUUCCCUUUCUUUUGAUUUUUGCCUCUCCC
This 2715-nucleotide long non-coding RNA is filed under the name Nicotiana tabacum (common tobacco). RNAcentral describes it as "long non-coding RNA (NTAB_LNC017464)". The record is from RNAcentral. Lineage: Eukaryota; Viridiplantae; Streptophyta; Magnoliopsida; Solanales; Solanaceae.